CGACGUCGGUUCCUCUUCCUGGCUGCAGUGGAUCAGGAGGAUUUUACGACGUCGCAGAGAAACUCGGGUCUUUUUCACUCAGGAAGCUUCAGGCUGAAGCCUCAAUAAAAAUGGCUUCCUGAUUUUGCGGGACCCAACAAAU
Molecule: small nucleolar RNA, 142 nt
Organism: Seriola aureovittata
Lineage: Eukaryota; Metazoa; Chordata; Actinopteri; Carangiformes; Carangidae
Product: small nucleolar RNA SNORA79
Exons: 1
Source: RefSeq, a predicted model, not a curated record